This 253-nucleotide ribosomal RNA is filed under the name uncultured bacterium. Its description in RNAcentral is "partial 16S ribosomal RNA". It matches the Rfam family "Bacterial small subunit ribosomal RNA", at positions 524 to 776 of the family's 1533-position model. The record is from RNAcentral.
UACGUAGGGGGCUAGCGUUGUCCGGAAUCAUUGGGCGUAAAGCGCGUGUAGGCGGUCCGGUAAGUCCGCUGUGAAAGUCGGGGGCUCAACCCUCGGAUGCCGGUGGAUACUGUCGGGCUUGAGUACGGAAGAGGCGAGUAGAAUUCCUGGUGUAGCGGUGAAAUGCGCAGAUAUCAGGAGGAACACCAAUUGCGAAGGCAGCUCGCUGGGACGUUACUGACGCUGAGACGCGAAAGCGUGGGGAGCAAACAGG